This 505-nucleotide ribosomal RNA is filed under the name Culex tritaeniorhynchus. RNAcentral describes it as "partial large subunit ribosomal RNA". It matches the Rfam family "Bacterial large subunit ribosomal RNA", at positions 1861 to 2622 of the family's 2925-position model. The record is from RNAcentral. Lineage: Eukaryota; Metazoa; Arthropoda; Insecta; Diptera; Culicidae.
GCCCACUGAUAAAAAUUAAAGGGCCGCAGUAUUUUGACUGUGCGAAGGUAGCAUAAUCACUAGUCUUUUAAUUGGAGGCUUGUAUGAAUGGUUGAAUGAGAUAUAUACUGUCUUUUUUAAAAUUAUAUAGAAUUUUAUUUUUUAAUUAAAAAGUUAAAAUGAAAUUAAAGGACGAGAAGACCCUAUAGAUCUUUAUUUUUGUUAUUUAUAAAUUAAAAAGAAUAUUAAAAUUUAUAAUUUAAUUAAAAAUUUUAUUGGGGUGAUAUUAAAAUUUAAAAAACUUUUAAAAUAUAAAAACAUUAAUAUAUGAAUAAAUGAUCCAGUUAUAUUGAUUAAAAAAUUAAGUUACCUUAGGGAUAACAGCGUAAUUUUUUUUUAGAGUUCAUAUCGACAAAAAAGAUUGCGACCUCGAUGUUGGAUUAAGAGUUAUUUUUAGGUGUAGAAGUUUAAAGUUUAGGUCUGUUCGACCUUUGAAUUCUUACAUGAUCUGAGUUCAAACCGGAGA